RNAcentral lists this ribosomal RNA (254 nucleotides) under uncultured bacterium. RNAcentral describes it as "partial 16S ribosomal RNA". It matches the Rfam family "Bacterial small subunit ribosomal RNA", at positions 524 to 776 of the family's 1533-position model. The record is from RNAcentral.
UACGAAGGGGGCUAGCGUUGCUCGGAAUCACUGGGCGUAAAGCGCACGUAGGCGGACUCUUAAGUCGGUGGUGAAAUCCUGGAGCUCAACUCCAGAACUGCCUCCGAUACUGGGAGCCUUCGAGUCCGGGAGAGGUGAGUGGAACUGCGAGUGUAGAGGUGAAAUUCGUAGAUAUUCGCAAGAACAUCAGUGGCGAAGGCGGCUCACUGGCCCGGUACUGACGCUGAGGUGCGAAAGCGUGGGGAGCAAACAGG